Molecule: small nuclear RNA, 183 nt
Filed under: Ophiophagus hannah (king cobra)
Lineage: Eukaryota; Metazoa; Chordata; Lepidosauria; Squamata; Elapidae
Description: 7SK RNA
Rfam family: 7SK RNA
About the family: 7SK was discovered as an abundant small nuclear RNA in the mid-70s but a possible function has only recently been suggested. Two independent studies have found that 7SK RNA binds the CDK9/cyclin T complex (known as elongation factor P-TEFb). P-TEFb activates transcription by phosphorylating the C-terminal domain of RNA polymerase II.
Source: Rfam by way of RNAcentral
GUAAGUGACAAUGAAAUGCCUGUGACAUCUGCCGAUUGAUAUCCAGAGCUGAUUCAGAUAAUCUGGCUGACCAGGCAGUUUGUCCAUUUUUAAAUCAUCUCUUCAUAUACAUCCUUCCUGAAGCUGUGCUCUCGAUGAAAGAGGACAGGCAUCACAAAAGAAAAGUAGUAUAUAAUAGUUUAU